Molecule: ribosomal RNA, 621 nt
Filed under: Chrysocharis sp. D1516
Lineage: Eukaryota; Metazoa; Arthropoda; Insecta; Hymenoptera; Eulophidae
Description: eukaryotic LSU rRNA
Rfam family: Eukaryotic large subunit ribosomal RNA
Source: RNAcentral
CGUGUUGCUUGAUAGUGCAGCUCUAAGUUGGUGGUAAACUCCAUCUAAGGCUAAAUAUGACCACGAGACCGAUAGCGAACAAGUACCGUGAGGGAAGGUUGAAAAGAACUUUGAAGAGAGAGUUCAAGAGUACGUGAAACCGUUCAGGGGUAAACCUGAGAAACCCAAAAGAUCGAAUGGGGAGAUUCAUCGUCAGCGUGGCUGGCUUCCGUGCGGUUCGCGAUGGCCGGGACCUCGGUCUCGCGUCACGCGUCCGCUGCGGUAUGUCCGGCUGCGUCGGCGUGCACUUCUCCCCUAGUAGGACGUCGCGACCCGUUGGGUGUCGGACCGAUGGCCGUCUGGUCGCCUGUUACGUCCGCGUUCACGCGUGCACGUGGCAGACCGAAAUGGCCGAGCGUCCGGCUGCCCGGCGGUAUAGAACGCUAUUGAACGGUAAUGAGCCGCAUUAAGUGCGUUCAGGCUCGUCGGCAGGCUCGUCUCGCCCGGAUUUACGGACCCAGCGCCGUUGCCGGGUGCUUGGCGUGGCUGUUAGUCGGCGAUGUCCUCGGACUGGCUCUAAAAUUCGAAAGGAUUACCGGUCGGCGACGCUACUGCUUUGGGUACUUUCAGGACCCGUCUUGA